RNAcentral lists this ribosomal RNA (798 nucleotides) under bacterium 4746K8-B13. RNAcentral describes it as "bacterial SSU rRNA". It matches the Rfam family "Bacterial small subunit ribosomal RNA", at positions 112 to 913 of the family's 1533-position model. The record is from RNAcentral.
AAUGCUUGGGAACAUGCCUUGAGGUGGGGGACAACAGUUGGAAACGACUGCUAAUACCGCAUAAUGUCUACGGACCAAAGGGGGCUUCGGCUCUCGCCUUUAGAUUGGCCCAAGUGGGAUUAGCUAGUUGGUGAGGUAAUGGCUCACCAAGGCGACGAUCCCUAGCUGGUUUGAGAGGAUGAUCAGCCACACUGGGACUGAGACACGGCCCAGACUCAUACGGGAGGCAGCAGUGGGGAAUAUUGCACAAUGGGCGCAAGCCUGAUGCAGCCAUGCCGCGUGUGUGAAGAAGGCCUUCGGGUUGUAAAGCACUUUCAGUCAGGAGGAAAGGUUAGUAGUUAAUACCUGCUAGCUGUGACGUUACUGACAGAAGAAGCACCGGCUAACUCCGUGCCAGCAGCCGCGGUAAUACGGAGGGUGCGAGCGUUAAUCGGAAUUACUGGGCGUAAAGCGUACGCAGGCGGUUUGUUAAGCGAGAUGUGAAAGCCCCGGGCUCAACCUGGGAACUGCAUUUCGAACUGGCAAACUAGAGUGUGAUAGAGGGUGGUAGAAUUUCAGGUGUAGCGGUGAAAUGCGUAGAGAUCUGAAGGAAUACCGAUGGCGAAGGCAGCCACCUGGGUCAACACUGACGCUCAUGUACGAAAGCGUGGGGAGCAAACGGGAUUAGAUACCCCGGUAGUCCACGCCGUAAACGAUGUCUACUAGAAGCUCGGGUCCUCGGACUUGUUUUUCAAAGCUAACGCAUUAAGUAGACCGCCUGGGGAGUACGGCCGCAAGGUUAAAACUCAAAUGAAUUGA